Molecule: microRNA precursor, 80 nt
Filed under: Pelodiscus sinensis (Chinese soft-shelled turtle)
Lineage: Eukaryota; Metazoa; Chordata; Testudines; Trionychidae
Description: miRNA (ENSPSIG00000019636.1)
Source: RNAcentral
AUGGCCUAAUCCAAAGCUGAUUCAAAUCAAUGGGAGUCUGUCCAUUGACAUCAGCGUGGUUUGGAUCAAACCUUUCAUUC